UGGCGACAUAAACAAGGGAGGAGGCUGCGUUCUUCCCCGCACAAUAAAGGAGCGGGUCCGGGGGAGGCCGCCCUCCCGGAGCCGCCGAGGCAAGGCCCGACCGCGGCCCGCGAAGCGCGCGGCUGACCUCCGCCAUGUUGGCCGUACACCGGGCCACACAACAAAGACUGAGCGAGGGCGCGGGCCGUAGCCUCGGCGCGCCCGCCCGCCCUCCGCCUCUCGGAGCCGCGGCUGUCGGCUGGGCCCGCCUGGAGAGGCCGAGACAAAGGCGUCGCGGCUCCGCGAGGGGACCCGCCGGCCCUCCCCGGGCCGCGGCCGGCUCCUCCCUCCAGGCCGCCCGCUUACCUGUGGGCGGAGAGCGCGCCGCGGACCCCGGCCCCGUCUAACGCGCCCGGUCGCCAGCUGCCGCCGCCGC
Molecule: non-coding RNA, 415 nt
Organism: Mus caroli (Ryukyu mouse)
Lineage: Eukaryota; Metazoa; Chordata; Mammalia; Rodentia; Muridae
Source: RefSeq, a predicted model, not a curated record